AGGCCUAACACAUGCAAGUCGAACGGUAGCACAGAGAAGCUUGCUUCUUGGGUGACGAGUGGCGGACGGGUGAGUAAUGUCUGGGAAACUGCCCGAUGGAGGGGGAUAACUACUGGAAACGGUAGCUAAUACCGCAUAACGUCUUCGGACCAAAGUGGGGGACCUUCGGGCCUCACGCCAUCGGAUGUGCCCAGAUGGGAUUAGCUAGUAGGUGGGGUAACGGCUCACCUAGGCGACGAUCCCUAGCUGGUCUGAGAGGAUGACCAGCCACACUGGAACUGAGACACGGUCCAGACUCCUACGGGAGGCAGCAGUGGGGAAUAUUGCACAAUGGGCGCAAGCCUGAUGCAGCCAUGCCGCGUGUAUGAAGAAGGCCUUCGGGUUGUAAAGUACUUUCAGCGGGGAGGAAGGCGACGCGGUUAAUAACCGCGUCGAU
RNAcentral lists this ribosomal RNA (436 nucleotides) under Erwinia persicina. Its description in RNAcentral is "bacterial SSU rRNA". It matches the Rfam family "Bacterial small subunit ribosomal RNA", at positions 44 to 473 of the family's 1533-position model. The record is from RNAcentral. Lineage: Bacteria; Pseudomonadati; Pseudomonadota; Gammaproteobacteria; Enterobacterales; Erwiniaceae.